Non-coding RNA from Paramuricea clavata, 723 nucleotides. Lineage: Eukaryota; Metazoa; Cnidaria; Anthozoa; Malacalcyonacea; Plexauridae. The record is from the annotation of a GenBank genome assembly.
AUUAGUUUUACUAGCUGAUAUUUAUGACUAUCCUGGGACAACAUUUUAUUUUUCCAAAGAGAUUUUACUUGCAUGAUAGUAAUAAGUUUAAUAGUAACAGAGAAGUGUGAUGGAUAUGUGCAAGUAAUUAUCAUUAGAAAUACAAAGAUUAAACUGUAAUUUUGACCAUUGUAAAUGUAUUAUUAAAGAAACAAAAUACAAAAGUCACACAAGGCUAUUUAACAUAAUACAGUCAUAAUACCAGACUGGUUAAAGAACUACUGAAUAGAGGGAUCAUGAAAAUCUUCUAAGAUUACUACCAUAGCUCUGUAACAGGAAAAGGUAUACAGUGAGUUAAGGUUUCUUCACCUUGAUGAACAAAAUUAUAUAGCAUAAUGCUUUAGAAAACUAUAAUGCCAUCAACUAAUUCCCAUUUAAAAAUUUUCAUGUUGGUCACUGUGAAAUAUAAUCUUGAGGCCAUCUUAAUGAUUGUUUACUAUCUGAUUGAUGACAUGAUUUAUAUAUAUUUCCAUGGAAUUCAAGUUGUUUUUUUCCCCAAGUUCAUGUAAAAUAUGGUUCACCUGUUAAAAUAAUAAAAUAUUUAUUAGUUGUUUUGUAACAGAACAGUACCUGCUUUAAAGAAAAUAUAGGAAAGAGAAAAUUGAAAUAACAGUUGUACACUGUAUAUGGAAAACAGAAUAAAAUCUUUUUAAGCAUUUCUACUACGUACUGUUAUCAUAAUUU